UAGAUGGAGAGAGCUUUGCUCAGCU
This 25-nucleotide non-coding RNA is filed under the name Rattus norvegicus (Norway rat). The record is from RNAcentral. Lineage: Eukaryota; Metazoa; Chordata; Mammalia; Rodentia; Muridae.